GAAAAAAGAAGCAUUGAAUGAAAUGUUGUUGAAAGGUUCAAGGAAAAAGAAUCGGACAUCAACGUGUUUUCUAUCACUACCUCUCUAACUUUACUUGUAUAUAUACACACACUUUUUCUAAUGAAAUAACCUUUUCAUUUCACCAAUUUUUUUUUAUUCUCUCUCAGUAUUCUUCCGUUCAAUCCAAAGGUUUACCAGAAAUUGUAAAGAUGAGCAACGAGGAUGGCGGUGAUGAUCUGUCUCCACAAAGACGUGCCCCUCGUUUGAAUGAGAGGAUCCUAUCAUCUAUAUCCAGGAGGUCUGUUGCUGCUCAUCCUUGGCAUGACCUUGAGAUAGGACCUGAAGCUCCAAGCGUUUUCAAUGUUGUCAUUGAGAUUUCAAAAGGAAGCAAAGUCAAAUAUGAGCUGGACAAGAAAACCGGUCUUAUUAAGGUUGAUCGCAUCCUAUAUUCUUCAGUGGUUUACCCUCAGAACUAUGGUUUCAUUCCCCGAACACUCUGUGAAGAUAAUGACCCAAUGGAUGUAUUAGUCCUCAUGCAGGAACCUGUCCUUCCAGGUUGUUUCCUUCGAGCUAGGGCGAUAGGCCUGAUGCCUAUGAUUGAUCAGGGAGAGAAAGAUGACAAGAUCAUAGCAGUGUGUGCUGACGAUCCAGAAUAUCGCCACUACACUGAUAUAAAACAGCUCCCCCCACACCGCCUUGCUGAAAUUCGCCGCUUUUUUGAAGACUACAAGAAGAAUGAAAACAAAGACGUUGCUGUUGACGAUUUCCUGCCUCCAAGUACUGCUGUCGAUGCCAUUCAGUACUCCAUGGAUCUGUAUGCUGAAUACAUAUUACACAGCUUGAGGAAGUAAGGUACAAUGGGACAUGACAUAUAAACAGAAUAUCUAUAUGUACAAUUUGAAAUGAAGACUGUGACAUGUGACAAGUUAUCUUAAUGAUUUGCCAUCAUAUUGUGUUUUUUGUACUCUUAUUUUCUCUUUGUUGAAUUUUUGUGAUGUAUGAUGUUAUGAUUUAGCAAGGGGUUAUCCAUUGCUGCUCUCAAGUUGUACUGUUUUAAUUAUGUUGACAUUA
This 1071-nucleotide unclassified non-coding RNA is filed under the name Hevea brasiliensis (rubber tree). Lineage: Eukaryota; Viridiplantae; Streptophyta; Magnoliopsida; Malpighiales; Euphorbiaceae. The record is from RNAcentral.